GAGACUGCCGGUGUCAAACCGGAGGAAGGUGGGAUGACGUCAAGUCCUCAUGGCCUUUAUGACCAGGGCUACACACGUACUACAAUGGCAGGUACAAAGGGCAGCCACUUAGCGAUAAGGAGCGAAUCCCAUAAAACCUGUCUCAGUCCGGAUUGGAGUCUGCAACUCGACUCCAUGAAGUUGGAAUCGCUAGUAAUCGCAGAUCAGCACGCUGCGGUGAAUACGUUCCCGGGCCUU
RNAcentral lists this ribosomal RNA (237 nucleotides) under uncultured Desulfocapsa sp. RNAcentral's name for it is "partial 16S ribosomal RNA". It matches the Rfam family "Bacterial small subunit ribosomal RNA", at positions 1145 to 1382 of the family's 1533-position model. The record is from RNAcentral. Lineage: Bacteria; Pseudomonadati; Thermodesulfobacteriota; Desulfobulbia; Desulfobulbales; Desulfocapsaceae.